GAUGAACGCUGGCGGCGUCCCUAAUACAUGCAAGUCGAGCGAACAGACGAGGAGCUUGCUCCUCUGACGUUAGCGGCGGACGGGUGAGUAACACGUGGAUAACCUACCUAUAAGACUGGGAUAACUUCGGGAAACCGGAGCUAAUACCGGAUAAUAUAUUGAACCGCAUGGUUCAAUAGUGAAAGACGGUUUUGCUGUCACUUAUAGAUGGAUCCGCGCCGCAUUAGCUAGUUGGUAAGGUAACGGCUUACCAAGGCGACGAUGCGUAGCCGACCUGAGAGGGUGAUCGGCCACACUGGAACUGAGACACGGUCCAGACUCCUACGGGAGGCAGCAGUAGGGAAUCUUCCGCAAUGGGCGAAAGCCUGACGGAGCAACGCCGCGUGAGUGAUGAAGGUCUUCGGAUCGUAAAACUCUGUUAUUAGGGAAGAACAAAUGUGUAAGUAACUAUGCACGUCUUGACGGUACCUAAUCAGAAAGCCACGGCUAACUACGU
Molecule: ribosomal RNA, 496 nt
Filed under: uncultured bacterium
Lineage: Bacteria
Description: partial 16S ribosomal RNA
Rfam family: Bacterial small subunit ribosomal RNA
Source: RNAcentral